This 1437-nucleotide unclassified non-coding RNA is filed under the name uncultured Neocallimastigales. RNAcentral's name for it is "partial contains small subunit ribosomal RNA, internal transcribed spacer 1, 5.8S ribosomal RNA, internal transcribed spacer 2, and large subunit ribosomal RNA". The stretch from base 661 to 1437 matches the Rfam family "Eukaryotic large subunit ribosomal RNA", at positions 1 to 628 of the family's 3401-position model. Lineage: Eukaryota; Fungi; Neocallimastigomycota; Neocallimastigomycetes; Neocallimastigales. The record is from RNAcentral.
UUUCCGUAGGUGAACCUGCGGAAGGAUCAUUAAAAAAUUGGACUCCAUUGGUGAGUUCAUUAAUAAUCCCUACCCUUUGUGAAUUUGUUUGUUUGAAUAAUUUUUUUUCCAAAAAAAAAUUAUUGAAUGUCUUUCCCUGUUUUGGUGGAGCUUGUAAAGUGAAACCAGGCAGGGGAAUGGCAAACAAUAAUUAUUUUUUGAAAAAAGACCUUUUUUAAAAUUAAACUUUUUGUAUUCAUUUGUCUAAAAUUAUUUUUAUAAUAUAAAAACAACUUUUGACAAUGGAUCUCUUGGUUCUCGCAACGAUGAAGAACGCAGCAAAAUGCGAUAAGUAGUGUGAAUUGCAGAAUACGUGAAUCAUCGAAUCUUCGAACGCAUAUUGCACUUUUUUAGUUUACUAAAAAAGUAUGUCUGUUUGAGUAUCAGUAAAAUAUUCUCAUAAAAAACAUUGUUUUUUUAUGGUUAUGAGUGUUUUACAACGAUAACAAGUUGUUUCACUUUAAAUUCUUUGUUAUCAAAAAAAUCAUUAAAAGCUAAUUUUAAAGAUUUUUUAAAAUUGGAUAAAAUUUUCCCGUAAAAAGGAAUAACCUAAACAAUUUUAAAAAAUUAAAAUUGGUUUGAUUUCUUUUGAAACCCAAAGGAAAAAAAACGAAAUUAACUUGAUCUCAAAUCAGAUAAGAGUACCCGCUGAACUUAAGCAUAUCAAUAAGCGGAGGAAAAGAAACUAACUAGGAUUCCCUCAGUAACGGCGAGUGAAGCGGGAAGAGCUCAAAUUUGAAAUCUUCAAGGUUUUACCUUGACGAAUUGUAGUUUAAAGAAGUGUUUUCUGUUGGAGUUUUGGUAAAAGUUCUUUGGAAAAGGACAUCAUAGAGGGUGAGAAUCCCGUAUUUGACCAUUAUCUCCAGCUUUGUGAUACACUUUCAAAGAGUCGGAUUGUUUGGGAAUGCAGUCCAAAAUGGGUGGUAAAUUUCAUCUAAAGCUAAAUACUGGCGAGAGACCGAUAGCGAACAAGUACCGUGAGGGAAAGAUGAAAAGAACUUUGAAAAGAGAGUUAAACAGUACGUGAAAUUGUCAAAAGGGAAGCGUUUGACACCAGUGUUGUUUUCUCGAAAAUCAAUUAAAAAAGGCCGGAUUUUGUGUUGUAUUGACUUUAUCAGCUUUCUGCACUUUUUUCUUGUCUUUUUUAAUGCACUUUUCGUUUAACAAGACAACAUCAAUUUCUUUUGUUGUAAAAGGGUCAUGGAAGGUGGCUUUCUUUUCGGAGAAAGUGUUUAUAGCCUUGUGCCUCUGCAAUCGGAGAGAUUGAGGUCUGCAGCGUAGAUCCUUCGGGGUUAGAUACAUUUGUGCUAAGUUAUAGCUUUUCAUAGACAACUUGUUGACUAUGAUCAGUCAUGUAGCUUACUCGCUUAUGCUAUUUUACCUACGCUUAGGAUGUUG